GAUGAACGCUGGCGGCGUGCUUAACACAUGCAAGUCGAACGGAAAGGCCCAAGCUUGCUUGGGUACUCGAGUGGCGAACGGGUGAGUAACACGUGGGUGAUCUGCCCUGCACUUCGGGAUAAGCCUGGGAAACUGGGUCUAAUACCGGAUAGGACCACUUCGUGGUUGUUGUGGUUGAAAGUUUUUUCGGUGUGGGAUGAGCUCGCGGCGUAUCAGGUUGUUGGGGUGGUAAUGGCCUACCAAGGCGUCGACGGGUAGCCGGGCUGGGAGGGCGUACGGCAAUAUUGGGACUGAGAGGCGGCGCAGACUACUACGGGAAGCAGUAGGGGAGAAUGUUGCAUAAGGGGCAGAAGGAUGAAGCAGCGACGCGGCGUGGAUGAUGACGGCCUUCGGGUUGUAAGCUCCCGCCUGUAAAGACGAAUGUGGGACGGUAUUUGGUGAAGAAGCACCGGCUAACUACGUG
Molecule: ribosomal RNA, 463 nt
Filed under: uncultured bacterium
Lineage: Bacteria
Description: partial 16S ribosomal RNA
Rfam family: Bacterial small subunit ribosomal RNA
Source: RNAcentral